UGCAAUUUGCUAAAGUAGACAAAUGCUGGGAAAUUAGAUUAGGAUUUUAUUAUGGACAUUACUUCACUCUAAUUCACAUUUGCAGGAGAACCUCUAAAACAAAGAUCUGUACUUUGUUUUAUAACUGAAAAGGUAUACUGGUUUAUGAACUAUUCUGGAUUAGUAGAGGAGAUCCAAAAUUAGUUUAUAAACCAAUUUCCCCAAUCACAAAUUGAAGGUAUACUGGUUUACAGAGAAGCCUGUGUAGAGUAAAUCAAUUUGCAAAAUGACAUUUAGUCAUUUUAUUUUUAAUAAUUGUAUAAAUUGGUCUCAGAUAUUUGAAAUUUAAAGCAGUCACAUGUUAGUUUUUAAUUUAAAUAUAAACUUGUGUAAACUAGGUCUAAGCAAGUCUUUUGUGAUCAGUACGUGCAACAAAAGUUUCUAUACUUUUCUGAACCGGCUGAUUUUGCUUUGCGUCAUUUAUUGUCGUAUUUCAAUCAAU
This 481-nucleotide long non-coding RNA is filed under the name Vigna radiata. RNAcentral describes it as "long non-coding RNA (VRAD_LNC011770)". The record is from RNAcentral. Lineage: Eukaryota; Viridiplantae; Streptophyta; Magnoliopsida; Fabales; Fabaceae.